UUGGAGUUUGUUGCCCUGAGUGAUGGGCUCCGAAGCUAACGCGAUAAAUCGACCGCCUGGGGAGUACGGCCGCAAGGUUAAAACUCAAAUGAAUUGACGGGGGCCCGCACAAGCGGUGGAGCAUGUGGUUUAAUUCGAUGCAACGCGAAGAACCUUACCUGGUCUUGACAUCCACAGAAUCUUGCAGAGAUGCGAGAGUGCCUUCGGGAACUGUGAGACAGGUGCUGCAUGGCUGUCGUCAGCUCGUGUUGUGAAAUGUUGGGUUAAGUCCCGCAACGAGCGCAACCCUUAUCCUUUGUUGCCAGCGAUUUGGUCGGGAACUCAAAGGAGACUGCCGUUGAUAAAGCGGAGGAAGGUGGGGACGACGUCAAGUCAUCAUGGCCCUUACGACCAGGGCUACACACGUGCUACAAUGGCGUAUACAAAGGGAGGCGACCUCGCGAGAGCAAGCGGACCUCAUAAAGUACGUCUAAGUCCGGAUUGGAGUCUGCAACUCGACUCCAUGAAGUCGGAAUCGCUAGUAAUCGUGAAUCAGAAUGUCACGGUGAAUACGUUCCCGGGCCU
This 564-nucleotide ribosomal RNA is filed under the name uncultured Gammaproteobacteria bacterium. RNAcentral's name for it is "bacterial SSU rRNA". It matches the Rfam family "Bacterial small subunit ribosomal RNA", at positions 817 to 1381 of the family's 1533-position model. Lineage: Bacteria; Pseudomonadati; Pseudomonadota; Gammaproteobacteria. The record is from RNAcentral.